UACGGAGGGAGCUAGCGUUAUUCGGAAUUACUGGGCGUAAAGCGCACGUAGGCGGCUUUGUAAGUUAGAGGUGAAAGCCCGGGGCUCAACUCCGGAACUGCCUUUAAGACUGCAUCGCUUGAAUCCAGGAGAGGUCAGUGGAAUUCCGAGUGUAGAGGUGAAAUUCGUAGAUAUUCGGAAGAACACCAGUGGCGAAGGCGGCUGACUGGACAUGUAUUGACGCUGAGGUGCGAAAGCGUGGGGAGCAAACAGG
Molecule: ribosomal RNA, 253 nt
Filed under: uncultured bacterium
Lineage: Bacteria
Description: partial 16S ribosomal RNA
Rfam family: Bacterial small subunit ribosomal RNA
Source: RNAcentral